RNAcentral lists this transfer RNA (63 nucleotides) under Megascolecidae sp. BS2. RNAcentral's name for it is "tRNA-Leu". The record is from RNAcentral. Lineage: Eukaryota; Metazoa; Annelida; Clitellata; Crassiclitellata; Megascolecidae. RNAcentral also lists the same sequence under 1 other name.
AGUGCGUUGGCAGACUAGUGCAAUUGAUUUAGGAUCAAUUUAUGGUAUAAAGACCACACACUA